CCCUUAGAUGUUCUGGGCCGCACGCGCGCUACACUGACGGAGGCAGCGAGCAUGUCCUUCGCCGAGAGGUGUGGGGAAUCUUGUGAGUCUCCGUCGUGCUGGGGAUAGAUGGUUGCAAUUGUCGAUCUUGAACGAGGAAUUCCUAGUAAGCGCGAGUCAUCAGCUCGCGCUGAUUACGUCCCUGCCCUUUGUACACACCGCCCGUCGCUACUACCGAUUGAAUCGUUUAGCGAGAAUUUUGGAUCGGAGCCCUGGUGGGCAGCGAUGUCCGCCUGGGAUUUACCGAGAAAUCAUUCCAGCUUGCCGAUUUAGGGGAAGUAAAAGUCGUAACA
RNAcentral lists this ribosomal RNA (332 nucleotides) under uncultured eukaryote. RNAcentral describes it as "partial 18S ribosomal RNA". It matches the Rfam family "Eukaryotic small subunit ribosomal RNA", at positions 1470 to 1796 of the family's 1831-position model. The record is from RNAcentral.